This 547-nucleotide ribosomal RNA is filed under the name uncultured bacterium. RNAcentral describes it as "bacterial SSU rRNA". It matches the Rfam family "Bacterial small subunit ribosomal RNA", at positions 355 to 896 of the family's 1533-position model. The record is from RNAcentral.
UGGGGAAUAUUGCGCAAUGGGGGGAACCCUGACGCAGCCAUGCCGCGUGAAUGAAGAAGGCCUUCGGGUUGUAAAGUUCUUUCGGUAUUGAGGAAGGUUGAUGUGAUAAUAGCACAUCAAAUUGACGUUAAAUACAGAAGAAGCACCGGCUAACUCCGUGCCAGCAGCCGCGGUAAUACGGAGGGUGCGAGCGUUAAUCGGAAUAACUGGGCGUAAAGGGCACGCAGGCGGUUAUUUAAGUGAGGUGUGAAAGCCCUGGGCUUAACCUAGGAAUUGCAUUUCAGACUGGGUAACUAGAGUACUUUAGGGAGGGGUAGAAUUCCACGUGUAGCGGUGAAAUGCGUAGAGAUGUGGAGGAAUACCGAAGGCGAAGGCAGCCCCUUGGGAAUGUACUGACGCUCAUGUGCGAAAGCGUGGGGAGCAAACAGGAUUAGAUACCCUGGUAGUCCACGCUGUAAACGCUGUCGAUUUGGGGGUUGGGGUUUAACUUUGGCGCCCGUAGCUAACGUGAUAAAUCGACCGCCUGGGGAGUACGGCCGCAAGGUUA